ACUUCAUUUCUUCUUUUGCUUAAAUUGAAUCAUCUGCCAUUUGCAGCCCCAGAGCCAGAACACAUUUUCUGUGGAACUGUGAAACACUGAUCCAUUUGUGCAGCUUUUUGGAACUUUUUGCGCCCAGUUUGAGGCCAAAUAAAUAAAUAAAUAAAUAAAUAAAUAAAUACGCUAGCGGCCUUGCGGUUCCGGAUCUGUGCUUGUGGCUGUUUUGGUCUCGGAGUCCGACCUUCACGAGAACCGCUCUGACACUGCUCAGUAAUCUCUGACUCAUGUAGUGAGUAUGACUUCCUUAUUACAGCUGUGUGUGUGUGUGUGUGUGGGGGGGGGGGGGGGGGAUCGUUUAUCCAGCUUUCGACAUCGGACACAAACUCAACACUCGAACAAGAGACCGUUGUGUUUAUAUCUGGAUGUGGUUCAGCUGCAGCACAAACAAUCCGGAGAAGAGAGACCACGAUGUACUGCAAGGCUUAUGGAACACAAAUUCCUUCUGCCUUGUGUAAUCUCCCCUGAAGAUCAGUUCGGCUCAGAGCGAGGAGAUCAGGGUGCCGAAAGUUUUGCACUCUGGCACGAGCGCAAGACGUGGUCCGGAAUAAGACCAGCGAUAAGCUAAAAACGACCGGUCACGUUCACCAGCCUCUGUUUAUUCUCUUAAUAAAACUAACAAGAAAAAUAAACAAAACACCUUUUGCAAGCUGACAAUGAGGGCUGUUCGUAUAAACCUGCUGUCAGAGCUGCUGUUACAGAAAUCAUCACCUUCUGACCAAUCGGACUCCAGACCAAGCAGCAAACAGAACGGAAUCAUUCCUUUAAUUGUUAGAGGUCAGGAAUAUUUUUUCAAUUGAAAGAGAUUUUUUUAAAACUAACUAACUAGCUCACACACACACACACACACACACACACGCACACACACACACGCACGCACACUAACUCCUUUUUGUCUGAUAAAAAUAAACUCUUCUGAUAGAAUAGAACUGAUCCAUCGUCAGCCUGUAAUCAGACACAAAACACACCUGACUACAGCGCUGUAGUGUUUACUACACAAACAUAACGUACUGAUACACACACACACACCGAGAGGCACACACUCAGAUCCGCACACAGAGAACCCAACACAGAGAACCGCACAUAAGAACAACACACCAUGAGAACCGCACAUGAUAAGAACAGAACACCAUGAGAACCGCACAUGAUAAUGAGAACCGCACAUGAUAAGAACCAGACACCAUGAGAACCGCACAUGGGGAAGUCGUGGCCUAAUGGUUAGAGAGUCUGACUCCUAACCCUAAGAUUGUGGGUUCGAGUCUCGGGCCGCUAAUACCACGACUGAGGUGCCAUUGAGCAAGGCCCUGACCCCCCCAACUGCUCCCAGGGCGCCGCCGCAUAAAUGUCCAAUGCUCCGGGUGUGUGUUCACGGUGUGUGUGUGUUCACUGCUGUGUGUGUGCACUUUGGAUGGGUUAAAUGCAGAGAACAAAUUCUGAGUAUGGGUCACUGUACUUAGCCGUAUGUCACGUCACUUUCACUGAUAAGAACAGAACACCAUGAGAACUGCUCAAUAGUGCCCCUUUUCCACCGAGGCAGUUUGAGUGCUGGUUCGGAGCCUAAUUUAGAACCAGUUCUUUCUUUUUCGACACCCGAAACACCGGCUCCGAACAAGGAAAAGUGAUUCUUAAAUAGCACCAAAACGUUGCUGGUCUAGAUUUAAGAACCGCUUGAGUCAGGGGCUGUGGGCGGGGCUACUGUGACCAACAAGACAAGAGAGAAUGUCGUUAGUGCCGUUUUUAAAAUCACUAACGUUGCUAAUGACGCUGUAUAACGUCGUAUACAGUGACGUCAGACUCGGCUCUGCGAUGGCUCUCUAACAGGUUCUUAGGAGGCUCGCCAGUGGAACCAACUUCGAACCAGCACCAGGUUCUUUAUGGUGGAAAAGAGGACACAUGAGAAUCGCACACCAUGAGAAAGUCUAGUGCAGGUUUUAAGAAGCUCGCACUCAGCAGACUGGUCAUUAUGUCUUUUAAGAGCUGAGGGUUCGGUACCUUCAUGUUGGGUCUUUCGGUGAUCAGUGAUCCGUCCUUGGCGUAGGAAUACACGGUGAAAUCGUCUGGCAGGAGAAACCUGACAAAACACACAGAGAGAAACCUCAAGCAGGAUCAGGAGUGUGUGGAAAAAGUGCAAUGUGUGGAGUGUGAUGUGUUCGACCGGUAGCGGAGGUGUGUGUCACCUGUGAUCAGCCCCGCCUCCUAAAGUUCAGACUGCACUAGAAAGCAGGAAGUGAUAUGGAGGAUGUAGUGUAGUUAACUGUAGUAUCAACUAGUUACUUAGUAAGACUCUACACCCCCCCCCCCCCCCCCACACACACACACACACACACACACAGUAUACUGAGAGAUACGUAGUCUGAGAGUUAGAGCUGAGUGUGUCCUGGACUUUAGCCGCUGUGUUUCACAUCAGCAGCACUAAUCUGUCUGAUCUGCAGCACUCUGGAAGGAGGGAGUGUGUCACACACUGUGUGUGUGUGUGUUGAAUAUUACCUUCAUACUACACAUCAAUCUUUCUACCGUUCCUUUAUUUCUUUCUGCUUGCUUGCUAUCUAUCUAUCUAUCCAUCCAUCCAUCCAUCCAUCUCCUAGAGCUUUCUUUAUGUCACUCUGUGUGUGUGUGUUUCUUCAGACACACACACACACACAGAAGUUGGUGUUUUUCCUAGAACAGCACGUCCUGGAGUUUUGCGUUCCUCUGUGAAGGACAGCAGCUCUUUAACAGUGAUUACAUGUCUAAUGGAGAUUCCUCAUCAGCUGACUACAAGCUCUCAAAUACAUCAGACCACGGAUAAUGCUGAGAUUGUGGAACAGGGUGCAAGUUCCUGUGAAUUUAGCAGCAGUUAGCUAGAUCUUCUCCUACACUGCUGACUGAGGUGAGAAGGUCAGGAAGUGUGGUUGAGGGGUGACUCUCCGCCCUCAAUACAUAAACAUCCUGUCUGAAACCAUCUUAUCUGAAAAAGCGCAUCUUUAUCACCUACAGAGUUCGGCAAGCAGGAAUAGCAGUUCAUCUAAUCUAAUAACCAACAGUUUUGGGAAGCUCCGCCCCCUUCGGAUGACACAAACAAAGUAUGAUUGGAGUUCUUCAACCCUGAAUAAGAUGCAUCACUAUACAUAUUAUAUUAUUGUAUAUUAUAAAGCAUCUCACUGCAUAUCGUACUGUAUGUAUGUGACAAAUAAAAUUUGAUUUGAUUUUGUCAACCAUCCGCGGUUCGUGACUCCACCACCGAUUUAUUGAGAUAUUACUCAGCCUUCAUGUCAUUUUGCCUGGUUUUUUUUUAAAUGGUUAAUAAUUGUUUUUUUUAACAGUUAUAAAUACUUAAUAAAGCAGAACAAGACAGCGAAGAUCUUUUUAAAGCAAACGUGUACGUUUAAAUGAGGACAAGUUUGUACGCGAGUGAUGGAGAGAGAGAGAGAAUUGUCAUUGUGGAGCCGUAACCCCGUGAACCAACAAGAGAGAGAGUGAGAGAGAGAGAGAGAGAGAGAGAGAGAGAGUGUGUGUGAGAGAACGAGAGAGACAGAAAGAGAGAGUGAGAGAGUGUGAGUGAGUGAGUGAGUGAGUGAGUGAGUGAGUGAG
Long non-coding RNA from Tachysurus fulvidraco (yellow catfish), 3615 nucleotides. RefSeq lists it as uncharacterized. The transcript has 4 exons. The record is from RefSeq and is a predicted model, not a curated record. Lineage: Eukaryota; Metazoa; Chordata; Actinopteri; Siluriformes; Bagridae.